CAACAACCCAAGCUCUCCCAGUUGGUGAUGGUUGAAAUACACUGUGAUGGCCCACAGCUGUGGUACUCCAGGCUGGGUGCUCCUCACAGGUUUUUCAAAUCAAGCAGAAUUUGCUAGAAAUCAGUAGGGCCAGGCUGGGAAGAAGGAAGCAGCACUUGGUCAGUAGGUUUGUCUCUGGAGCUACAGGACAAAGUGCCUGGGGAUCCAACCUGUGGAAAUUGAAGUCUCUGAGGAUUCCUCUGUGACCAAAGACUGGAUUUCUCUUCUCAAAGGUGAGUACCAUGAAGCGUGCUAUCACAUGUACUGUUCUUUCCCAUAUCAUUCUGGUCAUGUGUAUAUUUGGUUAUUGCUGGAUGCUGUGAAUGGCACAGGUCACCCAUGCAGUGAUGAGCACUGCAGGUUUGUG
This 406-nucleotide long non-coding RNA is filed under the name Coturnix japonica (Japanese quail). RNAcentral describes it as "lncRNA (ENSCJPG00005021268.1)". The record is from RNAcentral. Lineage: Eukaryota; Metazoa; Chordata; Aves; Galliformes; Phasianidae.